UACAGAGGGUGCGAGCGUUAAUCGGAAUUAUUGGGCGUAAAGAGCUCGUAGGCGGUGUGUCGCGUCGGCCGUGAAAACCUGCAGCUUAACUGUGGGCUUGCGGUCGAUACGGGCAUCACUGGAGUUCGGCAGGGGAGACUGGAAUUCCUGGUGUAGCGGUGAAAUGCGCAGAUAUCAGGAGGAACACCGGUGGCGAAGGCGGGUCUCUGGGCCGAUACUGACGCUGAGGAGCGAAAGCGUGGGGAGCGAACAGG
RNAcentral lists this ribosomal RNA (254 nucleotides) under uncultured bacterium. RNAcentral's name for it is "partial 16S ribosomal RNA". It matches the Rfam family "Bacterial small subunit ribosomal RNA", at positions 524 to 776 of the family's 1533-position model. The record is from RNAcentral.